UUCAUCUGUGUAUGAUGGUAGUGAAGAGGGAACACCUGCAGGAAAUUUUCAGGAUAUGGUGAUCAAGUCUGAUGGACUGGUGAUGCAAUUACACAGCACUGUCUUCCCCUUUCUGAAAAUGUUUAUUUUACUUUAUCAUAUUCAAUUGUACUGAAAUUGUGCUUCUUGUGCCAGAAGAAUAAGACAUUUCUGCUUAGGACACUAUUUUACUUUGUCUUGUUAGAUGUGUACAUGUCUAAGAAAAAAAUGGACUGGAAACUGGCUUCAGAUAAUGCAAGUAACCAUGAACUGACCAUGAGUACUGCCCUACGUACUAAUGGCAGAGAGAAUCCUGUCAUCUUAACCUUAUGCUUUCUUCCUAGGAAUGACAAAAGGAUGUUCUAGCAAGACUACUCUGCUUCCUUUCCCUGUAGAAGAUAAUAUGGUCAAAACAGACAUUCUCACCCACAGACACAAAGUCUGAGUUGACACAGAGGACCAUCCUAUCAUCACCUCCAAAAAAGACAUAAAUCUGGUAAGUCUUGAAUCUUCCCAACUUGAAGGAUUUUAGGAAGUCCUAGCCAGAACAAUCAAGCAAAUGAAAAAAAAAGAAGGCAUCUAAAUAGGAAGAGAGGCAGUCAAACUAUCUCUGCAGAUGAUACGAUUCUAUACCUAGAAAAUCCAAAUGUCUCUUCCCAAAGGCUCCUAGAUCUGAUAAACAACUCUAACAAAAUUUCAGGAAACAAAAUCAAUUUUUAAAAGCUGGUAGCAUUUCUAUACACUAACAACAUCCAAGCUGAGAGCCAAAUCAAGAACACAAUUCCAUUCAUAAUAGCCACCAAAGGAAUGUUGAACAAAAAUACCCAGGAACACAGGUAGCCAGGGAAGUGAAGAUCUCCACAGUGAGAAUUACAAAACACUGCUGAAAGAAAACAGAGAUAACACAAACAAAUAGAAAAACAUUCCAUGCUCAUGAAUAGGAAGAAUCAACAUUGGCAAAAUGGCCAUACUACCCAAAGCAAUUUACAGAUUCAAGGCUAUUUCUAUGGAACUAAUGACGUUUUUCAUAGAAUUAGAAAAAAACUUUUCUAAAAUUAAUAUGAAAACCAAAAAGGAGCCCAAAUAGCCAAAGCAAUCAUAAGCAAAAAGAACAAAACUGGAUGCAUCAUGCUACCUGACUUCAAACUAUACCACAAGGCUACAGUAACCAAAUGGCAUAGAACAAUACAAAAAAGAGACAUAUAGACCUAUGGAACAGGGUAGAGAAAUAAUGCCGCACACCUCCAACCAUCUGAUCUUUGACAAAGCCAACAAAAUAAGCAAUGGAGAAGGGAUUCCCUAUUCAAUAAAUGGUGCUGAGAUAACAUGCUAGCCAUAUGCAGAAGAUUGAAACUGGACCCUUUCCUUUCACCAUAUACAAAAAUCAACUCAAGAUGAAUUAGAAACUUAAAUGUAAAACCUAAAACUAUAAAAACCCUAGAAGAAAACCUAGGAAAUACCAUUCUGGACAUCAGCCCUGGCAAAGAUUUCAUUAUGAAGACUCCAAAAGCAAUUGCAACAAAAACAAAAAAUUAACAAGUGAGACCUAAUUAAACAAAAGAGCAUCUCUUCACAGUAAAAGAAACUAUCAACUGAGUAAACAGACAACCUGCAGAUUGAGAGAAGAUAUUUGCAAACUAUGCAUCUGACAAAGGUCCAAUGUCCAAAAUCUAUAAGGAACUUGAACAAAUCAACAAGCAGAAAACAAAUAACCCCAUUUAAAAAAUGGACAAAGAACAUGAACAGACAUUUCUUAGAAGACAUACACACAGCUAACAAAUUUACAAAAAUAUACUCAGCAUCUCUAAUCAUUAGAGCAAUGCAAAUCAAAACCACAAUGAGAUACCAUCUCACACCAGUCAAAAUGGCUAUUAUUAAAAAGUCAGGAAAAUAACAGAUGCUGGUAAGGUUGCAGAGAAAAGAGAACACUUAUACAAUGUUGGCAGGAGUGUAAAUUAAUUCAGCCACUGUGGAAAGCAGUUUGGCAAUUUCUCGAAGAACUUAAAACAGAGCUACCAGUCAACCCAGCAAUCCCAUUACUUUUUAUUUACCCAAAUGAAUAUAAACUGUUCGCCAUGAAGACACAUGCACGUGUAUGUUCAUCCCAGCACUAUUAACAAUAAUAGCAAAGACAUGGAAUCAACCUAGAUGCCUAUCAAUUGUGGACUGGAUUAAGAAAAUGUGGUACAUAUACACCAUGGAAUACCAUGCAGCCCUAAAAAAAUAAAAUAAAAUCAUGUCGUUUGCCGCAACAUGGAUGGAGCUGGCGGCCAUUAUCCUAAAUGGAUUAAUACAAGAACAGAAAACCAAAUACCACAUGUUUUCACUUAUAAAUGGAAGCUAAACAUUUAGUACACAUGGACACAAAGAAUGGAACAAUGGACACUGGGACCUACUCGAGGGUUGAGGGUGAGGAUGAGAAUCAAAAAACUACCUAUCAGAAGGCAAAGGAGUCCAGACAUGGUGGCUCACACCUGUAAUCUCAGCCCUUUGGGAGGCUGAGGAGAGUGGAUCACUUGAGGUCAGGAGUUCAAAACCAGCCUGUCCAACAUGGCAAAACCCUGUCUCUACUAAAAAUACAAAAAUUAGCCAGGCGUGGUGCUGCAUGCCUGUAAUCCCAGCUAUUCAGGAGGCUAAGGCACGAGAAUCGCUUGAACCCCAAGGGCAGAGGUUGCAGUGAGCUGAGAUUGUGCCACUGCACUCCAGCCUGGGUGACAGAGCAAGACUUCUUCUCAAAAAUAAAAUAAAAUAAAAAAGAAGGCAAAGGAGGAGCAAAGUCACAUCUUACAUCGUGGCAGGCAAGAGAGCUUGUGCAGGGGAACUCCCAUUUUUAUAACCAUCGGAUCUCAUGCGACUUAUUCACUACCAUGAGAACAGUGUGGGUGAAACUGCUCCUGUGAUUCAAUUAUCUUCACCUGGCCCUGCCCUUGACACAUGGGAAUUAUUACAAUUCAUUGUGGGAUUUGGGUGGGAACACAGCCAAACCAUAUCAAAUGAGGAGGGACAUCUUGAAUUUAGGGCCCAAUGCUCCCCUCUCUGCAUCCCUAAACCCACUGUUUUUUUCCAUCGCAAUCACCACAUUCCAACCUACAAACAUUGGGUUGGGUAUAAACUACUGUGUUUUGCAACCUGAGAUCAUUUCAGGGGAUGAACACUAUUUAUGAGGUUUCCCCAGCCAUGUGGAACUGUGAGUCAAUUAAACCUCUUUCUUUUAUAAACUACCCACCCUUGGGUAUGUCUUUAUUAGCAUUGUGAGAACAGACUAAUACACCACUCUAGCUGCCUUCCUGAUUGCUGGAGAUCCAUUCAAAGAAUAAAACAAGAAGCUUUAUCCUAAUUAUCAUGUAAGUCUUCCCCCUAAAAUAUCAAGAACUAAGUGGAAAAUCCUUCAAAUACAUCUUCAAAUUAAAGCAUCUAAAAGUCUAAAUUAAAGCAUCUAAAAGCAUCAUGUCAAGGCUUAAAUGGAAUGACAUAAUUGCAAUUUAUUGGGUUUUCUUCUUUCAGUCAAAAUUCAAGGUUAAUUUUAGCAGUGCUUCAGAUCAUUU
This 3563-nucleotide long non-coding RNA is filed under the name Homo sapiens (human). Its description in RNAcentral is "HSALNT0189605". Lineage: Eukaryota; Metazoa; Chordata; Mammalia; Primates; Hominidae. The record is from RNAcentral.